RNAcentral lists this ribosomal RNA (279 nucleotides) under uncultured bacterium. RNAcentral's name for it is "partial 16S ribosomal RNA". It matches the Rfam family "Bacterial small subunit ribosomal RNA", at positions 506 to 784 of the family's 1533-position model. The record is from RNAcentral.
UGCCAGCCGCCGCGGUAAUACGGAGGGUGCGAGCGUUGUUCGGAAUUACUGGGCGUAAAGCGCGUGUAGGCGGUCGGGCAAGUCGAAUGUGAAAUCCCCGGGCUCAACCCGGGAACUGCAUCCGAAACUGCUCGGCUAGAGUCCCGGAGAGGAAGGCAGAAUUCCCAGUGUAGGGGUGAAAUCCGUAGAUAUUGGGAGGAAUACCAGUGGCGAAGGCGGCCUUCUGGACGGUGACUGACGCUGAGACGCGAAAGCGUGGGGAGCAAACAGGAUUAGAUA